This 441-nucleotide ribosomal RNA is filed under the name uncultured bacterium. RNAcentral describes it as "partial 16S ribosomal RNA". It matches the Rfam family "Bacterial small subunit ribosomal RNA", at positions 338 to 795 of the family's 1533-position model. The record is from RNAcentral.
CCUACGGGUGGCAGCAGUGGGGAAUAUUGCACAAUGGGGGAAACCCUGAUGCAGCGACGCCGCGUGAGUGAAGAAGUAUUUAGGUAUGUAAAGCUCUAUCAGCAGGGAAGAAGAAAGCCGGUACCUGACUAAGAAGCACCGGCUAACUAAGUGCCAGCAGCCGCGGUAAUACGUAGGGGGCAAGCGUUAUCCGGAUUUACUGGGUGUAAAGGGAGCGUAGACGGCUUUGUAAGUCUGAAGUGAAAGCCCAGGGCUCAACCCUGGGACUGCGUUGGAAACUGUGUAGCUAGAGUGCGGGAGAGGUAAGUGGAAUUCCUGGUGUAGCGGUGAAAUGCUUAGAUAUUAGGAGGAACACCAGUGGCGAAGGCGGCUUACGGGAGCGUAACUGACGUUGAGGCUCGAAAGCGUGGGGAUCGAACAGGAUUAGAUACCCGAGUAGUC